This 808-nucleotide long non-coding RNA is filed under the name Triticum aestivum (bread wheat). RNAcentral's name for it is "long non-coding RNA (TAES_LNC010424)". Lineage: Eukaryota; Viridiplantae; Streptophyta; Magnoliopsida; Poales; Poaceae. The record is from RNAcentral.
GCUCUUCUCUAAGUAGAUUAGGCGCAGCCAACACAUCAUUACAACUGCUACAUAUGGCUCCUACCCAAACACAUGUCCAUAAACAACUAACUCACAGCAAGCGACUGAAACAAUAUAAACUACAAAUGGUAGUCUUAGUCUCCAUGCAGCUACAUUACUGGUUCUUCUCUCAACCUCAUAAAAGCUUGCUUGUUGCCAAUAAUAUAAUUUACACAGCACUUUUCUUGUCGCCAGAUAAACAACAACCAGUAGCAUUCACGAAAAAAAAGCAUGCAGUUUGACGCCACCGGGCCGAGCAGCAGCAGGAUGAGGAUGCCUCCCUUCCACCUGCUCACAUCAAGAUUUAAACUAGAUGAGACUAGAGCUGGGUUUAUUAAGGGUAUCAGGGUAGUAUAUAGUAGCGUAGCGCUGCUAACUUAAUUCUCCAAAUCAUGCAAUUCUAUUGAAUGUGAGAUCGAACAGUGAAAGCAAUAUACACAGCCAGUCAUUCAGUAGGUAAUGUUUUGCUUUGCAUAUUGCUAAUAGGCGCCAGCUUAGUUUCUUCCCAAGUAGUUCAACAUAUCACUGAGGCAUAUCCAGUGACAUUAAUUAGCGCCGUACCAACGGAAUCAGCUAAGAAGAGAAGUGCACCUUGAAGCACAGUUAAUAGCAGAGAAAAAAGAAUACCAGAUUGAUUCAAUCAAGAGGACAAUAUGAUGAUCUGAUCUCCGCCACAAAAUUCAACCUAAAGCCAAAUCAAAAACAGAUGACUGGUUUUAGAAGAAAAAAAAGUGUAUAUAUUAGCAGAAAAGAACAUCGAUGCUGACAA